Molecule: long non-coding RNA, 820 nt
Organism: Prinia subflava (tawny-flanked prinia)
Lineage: Eukaryota; Metazoa; Chordata; Aves; Passeriformes; Cisticolidae
Exons: 3
Source: RefSeq, a predicted model, not a curated record
CUUUUUUCUCUGCUUGAUGAGUGGAUUUGGUGACUAUAAUAGAAGAAAAAAAACUCAUAAAAAGAAGAAAGGAGAAUUAAUAAAAUUGAAGUACAUCAGAGAGAAGUCCUCACCAAGAGAUCUGCUUUUGGGUGCUCAUUUUGCCUACCUUUCCUCUACUCACUAACUACUUGGAAGUCUUGAAUCAUGUUCUAUAGUGUUUUUUUCUUCUAAAGGAGGAGUAGCAGUAGUGUGGUGGUCUUCAGGAAAGCAGCCCUGUGUUGCUGGUUGCACGUCUUUUUGAGUGAAUUUAUGUCUUCCAUGCUAUCAGUUAAAUGUGGAGAUGGAACAGAAUAUGCACAGAUUUUUACUGCUGAAGAUCCAAGGGAUGAGGGACAGAAAGAUGAAAGAUGAAAAUCCGAAAAGUACAGAAUUGCAUGUUACAACUAACUACUGUGGUGUGUACAAUCCUUCUCCCUAUAGUUUAGCCCUUAACAAAACCCAUGAUAUUUAAAGCAUGCAUUUAAAAAAAAAAACACCCCCCAAAAAAACCCCAAAAAACCUUCCAUGAAGAAAGACUUAAUUAGUGAGGUGUUCUCUCUGCAUACUUGUCAUGUCCUCUCCAUCUCUUGUGUGGUAUAGUUGUUUUCUCUCCAAGAGAAAAAGAUUUAAAAAAAAAUCUUUGCAUACAUAGUUGGAAACACAUUUAACAUCAAGCCUAUCUAUCCUCUUCACAUGUCCAAUGACUCCUUCUGGAUUCAACACAAAAUGUCCAUUCUUCACUGCACAGGGACAUAUACCCUAUCCUUUAAAUCCUAGUGACUUACUAUCUCUGUAAGAA